Molecule: ribosomal RNA, 1015 nt
Filed under: Deltaproteobacteria bacterium
Lineage: Bacteria; Pseudomonadati; Myxococcota; Myxococcia
Description: partial 23S ribosomal RNA
Rfam family: Bacterial large subunit ribosomal RNA
Source: RNAcentral
UGGUCAAGCUACUAAGGGCACACGGUGGAUGCCUUGGCGCGAGAAGGCGAUGAAGGACGUGGCUAGCUGCGAUAAGCUUCGGGGAGCCGCUAAGCAGGCUUUGAUCCGGAGAUUUCCGAAUGGGGAAACCCGGCACCGGCAAUACGGUGUCAUCCCGACGUGAAUUCAUAGCGUCGUGGAAGCGAACGGGGGGAAGUGAAACAUCUCAGUACCCCUAGGAAGAGAAAUCAACUAGAGAUUCCCCCAGUAGCGGCGAGCGAACGGGGAAGAGCCCAAACCAGGUUUAGCAAUAAACCUGGGGUUGUGGGGCUGCUUCAGGGUGUAGCCCGGAGAGUUAUCAAAUCAGCUCAUAGGUGAAGGCUCCUGGAAAGGACAACCAUAGAGGGUGAUAGUCCCGUAACCGAAAUGAGUCUGGUCUCUCUGGAAGCAGUUCCCGAGUACCGCGGGACACGUGUAAUCCCGUGGGAAGCCGGGAGGACCAUCUCCCAAGGCUAAAUACUCACUCGCGACCGACAGUGAACUAGUACCGUGAGGGAAAGGUGAAAAGAACCCCGGUGAGGGGAGUGAAAUAGUACCUGAAACCGUGUGCCUACAAGCAGUGGAAGGGCUAUGAUGCGUGGUUCGCCACGUGACAGCCUGACCGCGUGCCUUUUGCUUAAUGAGUCUGCGAGUUACUCUGUGCAGCAAGGUUAAGCCGAUGAGGCGGAGCCGCAGCGAAAGCGAGUCUGAAUAGGGCGUUUAGUUGCACGGAGUAGACCCGAAGCGGGAUGAUCUACCCAUGGUCAGGGUAAAGCGGCAGUAAAAUGCCGUGGAGGCCCGAACCGGUGAAGGUUGAAAACUUCUCGGAUGAACUGUGGGUAGGGGUGAAAGGCUAAUCAAAUUCCGUGAUAGCUGGUUCUCCCCGAAAAAUAUUUAGGUAUUGCCUCGAAUGUUUGCCAGCGGAGGUAGAGCACUGGAUGGGCUAGGGCCCUUACCGGGGUACCAAACCUAACCAAACUCCGAAUGCCGCUGAGCA